CUGGAGGUAUCAGAAGUGCGAAUGCUGACAUAAGUAACGAUAAAGCGGGUGAAAAGCCCGCUCGCCGGAAGACCAAGGGUUCCUGUCCAACGUUAAUCGGGGCAGGGUGAGUCGACCCCUAAGGCGAGGCCGAAAGGCGUAGUCGAUGGGAAACAGGUUAAUAUUCCUGUACUUGGUGUUACUGCGAAGGGGGGACGGAGAAGGCUAUGUUGGCCGGGCGACGGUUGUCCCGGUUUAAGCGUGUAGGCUGGUUUUCCAGGCAAAUCCGGAAAAUCAAGGCUGAGGCGUGAUGACGAGGCACUACGGUGCUGAAGCAACAAAUGCCCUGCUUCCAGGAAAAGCCUCUAAGCAUCAGGUAACAUCAAAUCGUACCCCAAACCGACACAGGUGGUCAGGUAGAGAAUACCAAGGCGCUUGAGAGAACUCGGGUGAAGGAACUAGGCAAAAUGGUGCCGUAACUUCGGGAGAAGGCACGCUGAUAUGUAGGUGAAGCGACUUGCUCGUGGAGCUGAAAUCAGUCGAAGAUACCAGCUGGCUGCAACUGUUUAUUAAAAACACAGCACUGUGCAAACACGAAAGUGGACGUAUACGGUGUGACGCCUGCCCGGUGCCGGAAGGUUAAUUGAUGGGGUCAGCGCAAGCGAAGCUCUUGAUCGAAGCCCCGGUAAACGGCGGCCGUAACUAUAACGGUCCUAAGGUAGCGAAAUUCCUUGUCGGGUAAGUUCCGACCUGCACGAAUGGCGUAAUGAUGGCCAGGCUGUCUCCACCCGAGACUCAGUGAAAUUGAACUCGCUGUGAAGAUGCAGUGUACCCGCGGCAAGACGGAAAGACCCCGUGAACCUUUACUAUAGCUUGACACUGAACAUUGAGCCUUGAUGUGUAGGAUAGGUGGGAGGCUUUGAAGUGUGGACGCCAGUCUGCAUGGAGCCGACCUUGAAAUACCACCCUUUAAUGUUUGAUGUUCUAACGUUGACCCGUAAUCCGGGUUGCGGACAGUGUCUGGUGGGUAGUUUGACUGGGGCGGUCUCCUCCUAAAGAGUAACGGAGGAGCACGAAGGUUGGCUAAUCCUGGUCGGACAUCAGGAGGUUAGUGCAAUGGCAUAAGCCAGCUUGACUGCGAGCGUGACGGCGCGAGCAGGUGCGAAAGCAGGUCAUAGUGAUCCGGUGGUUCUGAAUGGAAGGGCCAUCGCUCAACGGAUAAAAGGUACUCCGGGGAUAACAGGCUGAUACCGCCCAAGAGUUCAUAUCGACGGCGGUGUUUGGCACCUCGAUGUCGGCUCAUCACAUCCUGGGGCUGAAGUAGGUCCCAAGGGUAUGGCUGUUCGCCAUUUAAAGUGGUACGCGAGCUGGGUUUAGAACGUCGUGAGACAGUUCGGUCCCUAUCUGCCGUGGGCGCUGGAGAACUGAGGGGGGCUGCUCCUAGUACGAGAGGACCGGAGUGGACGCAUCACUGGUGUUCGGGUUGUCAUGCCAAUGGCACUGCCCGGUAGCUAAAUGCGGAAGAGAUAAGUGCUGAAAGCAUCUAAGCACGAAACUUGCCCCGAGAUGAGUUCUCCCUGACUCCUUGAGAGUCCUGAAGGAACGUUGAAG
This 1590-nucleotide ribosomal RNA is filed under the name Escherichia coli. RNAcentral describes it as "partial 23S ribosomal RNA". It matches the Rfam family "Bacterial large subunit ribosomal RNA", at positions 1273 to 2843 of the family's 2925-position model. Lineage: Bacteria; Pseudomonadati; Pseudomonadota; Gammaproteobacteria; Enterobacterales; Enterobacteriaceae. The record is from RNAcentral.